CACCCCUCAAGCGUAGCUUGGUAUUGGGCUCUCGCCCCCGCGGCAUGCCCGAAAAGCAGCGGCGUCCGGUGCGACUUUAAGCGUAGUAAAUUUCUCCCG
This 99-nucleotide unclassified non-coding RNA is filed under the name Parmelia saxatilis. Its description in RNAcentral is "partial internal trancribed spacer 2". The record is from RNAcentral. Lineage: Eukaryota; Fungi; Ascomycota; Lecanoromycetes; Lecanorales; Parmeliaceae.